Molecule: long non-coding RNA, 712 nt
Filed under: Homo sapiens (human)
Lineage: Eukaryota; Metazoa; Chordata; Mammalia; Primates; Hominidae
Description: non-protein coding LINC02484:9
Source: RNAcentral
CAACCUGCUGGGGUUCCCUUCCACACUGCGGAAGCUUUGUUCUUUCGCUCUUUGCAAUAAAUCUUGCUACUGCUCACUCUUUGGGUCCACGCUGCUUUUAUGAGCUGUAACACUCACCGCGAAGAUCUGCAGCUUCACUCCUGAGCCCAGGGAGACCACGAGCCCACCGGGAGGAACGAACAACCCCAGACGCGCGGCCUUAAGAGCUGUAACACUCACCGCGAAGGUCUGCAGCUUCACUCCUGAGCCAGCGAGACCACGAACCCACCAGAAGGAAGAAACUCCGAACACAUCUGAACAUCAGAAGGGACAGACUCCAGACGCGCCACCUUAAGAGCUGUAACACUCACGGCGAGGGUCCGCGGCUUCAUUCUUGAAGUCAGUGAGACCAAGAACCCACCAAUUCUGGACACACAAUGAGAUAAUAACAUAAGUUUGAAAACUGCAAUUGGGCCUACUAAGGAACCAUGAUAGUGUUUGGUACAUAGAGGACACUGGAAAUGGUUUUCUUAACUGAACAAGUGACUAGAAUAAAGGAAUUAAUGAACGACAUCAGAGCUGAAAUCCCAAACCAUAAAUCAUAAAAGGAUCAGACAGCAAAGAGAAUGUGAAGAAAUGGAAUGGGCUCCAAUCAUUUAAAGGAUGAAAAAACUUUUUGAAAUACUAUUUCACAUCAAACUUUGAUUUAUAGCUACUAAAUAUUUAACCUUUU